Molecule: ribosomal RNA, 425 nt
Filed under: uncultured bacterium
Lineage: Bacteria
Description: partial 16S ribosomal RNA
Rfam family: Bacterial small subunit ribosomal RNA
Source: RNAcentral
GUGGGGAAUCUUGCGCAAUGGGCGAAAGCCUGACGCAGCCAUGCCGCGUGAAUGAUGAAGGUCUUAGGAUUGUAAAAUUCUUUCACCGGGGACGAUAAUGACGGUACCCGGAGAAGAAGCUCCGGCUAACUUCGUGCCAGCAGGAGCGGUAAUACGAGAGCCUCAAGCGUUAUCCGGAAUCAUUGGGCGUAAAGGGUGCGUAGGUGGUUUGAUUAGUCUCCCGUUAAAACUUCGAGCUUAACUCGAAAAGAGCGGGGGAAACGGUCAAACUAGAGUAUGUGAGAGGUGUGUGGAACUCAUGGUGUAGGGGUGAAAUCCGUUGAUAUCAUGGGGAACACCAAAAGCGAAGGCAGCACACUGGCACAUCACUGACACUGAGGCACGAAACCUAAGGUAGCGAAUGGGAUUAGAAACCCGUGUAGUCC